Molecule: long non-coding RNA, 1680 nt
Organism: Diorhabda carinulata
Lineage: Eukaryota; Metazoa; Arthropoda; Insecta; Coleoptera; Chrysomelidae
Exons: 2
Source: RefSeq, a predicted model, not a curated record
GCCGGGCAUGAAACUCAUUCUCUCUUUGAGUUCUGGCAUAAAUAAAUAACUUAUGGAUGUUUUUCCUUUUAACAAAUCAAUAAAAGUUUUAUGUUAAAAGUUAAUUGUAUUAUUUUUAAUUCAAAUAAAGUUUAAUAAAAUGUAGUUGAGUACGCCUAUGAGUCUAACCUGAAGUUAGCCGUUCCUCUAAUUUGAUAAUUCUACACAGUUAUCUGUUAUAAAUCGACUCAGAUGAAUAUUCUAUUAUUUAGAUGUACAAUAUAAGGAAAAUACUAGAAAAUUAUGUCAAUUUUAUAUGAUAUAAUCAAGAAGUUCUAUUUCUGUGGAAGGAUUACAUAUGAUACAUUGAACAAAAUUUAAUUAUACUACACAAUUCAUAUUAUUUCUACGGAAAAGGAAUCUUAACCUCACAAAUCAGGAAUUUUAUCCAUUAUCAACGUAAGUAUAGAAAACGGCGGUCGGAAUGGUAUUCUUCGGAAAAGUAUUGUUGGAACUUUAUUCAAUCUGGAAACUAUAAAUCUCUAUUUGGAUAAACAAUGCUAACAACUAAAUUGGCAGUAACACAAUAUUGGAAAAUCUUAUUCAUGUCCAACAAGAUUGAUCUCUAUCACAUUAGUUUCUUUCAGUUAUAAAGUAGCUUAAUGAUUAGGUAUUCUGACAGAUAGUUUAAAAAAAAAGUCACAAUAGCCUUUCUAUAGGAGCAUCUGCAAUCCAUUGUUUAUAUAGCACAGCAUUGAGAUUUAAAGAGAAAAAUGGCAACUGUGUGUAAAGAGCUUGAUGCAGAAGUUUUUCUACAUAUUGGGAGAAGAGCUAUUAAUAGAUCACAAAGUAAUGUAUUUUGAUAAAAUUUUAUUUAAUCUUUUAUCAAUUUUUUGGCUUUACUGCGUAAUACUUGAUUGCGUAAUACAUCAAUUAUAGGUUUCAGAUGAUUCUCCAAAAGUACCAAAAAAAACAGAGAUCAAAUAUUUUUUAUUAAUCAAAUGAAAUUUUAAUAGCCCCCCAUUUCCAUUUGAGAAUUUAAGGGCUAGGUCGCGCCUAUAAUCCAAGUAUGGCGUGGCUUGGCGUCCUUUUGAGUUUUUUAUAGUAUUUAGAAGAUAAAACCGUUUUAAGGAAAAAUGAAUGUGGAAUGGUGAAUGUUUCAAGGCGUUUACCAAAAAAUAACUGAUAUUUAAUUAAAGUGGUAUUGAAGAACUUAUUUAUAAUAAACAUAAAUGUGAUAAAACAAGAUAAUUUGUGGUAAAGAAUUGGAAGAUAUAAUAUCCUUGUUUAAAAUUGGAUAGUUUUGGGAGAGAUUUGAUUCGAUAAAAAAUUUUUGGAGGAACUAAAAACACUUAUGACAACAAGUUGUUGACAAUCAAAAUCCUUUGAAGAUCUGAAGAUUUAUUAAUAUUGACACCUAUUUAUAUAUAAUUCUAGAAAGACUCAUAAUGAAUGUUGAGUUUGGAAAUAGAAAGAAAGUAUAGGAAAAUAAUCAAAACAUUCCAGUUAUACUGGAAAGAGUGAUAGAAGUUUCCAGCCAUAAACCAAUCGCUUUGUUUUUAAGUAAAAAAAAAACUCUUUAAGGUAGAGGAUCAAGAGAGAACAUUUGGCAGAAACAUUUUUAUAUGUAUUUAACAUUAAUUACAGUUGAACUGUAUGAAUAAUAAGAUGAAUUACUCUUCAAAUAUAACUUGACAAUUA